This 1359-nucleotide long non-coding RNA is filed under the name Daucus carota (carrot). RNAcentral's name for it is "long non-coding RNA (DCAR_LNC003100)". The record is from RNAcentral. Lineage: Eukaryota; Viridiplantae; Streptophyta; Magnoliopsida; Apiales; Apiaceae.
GCUGUUUGUUUACCAGAAGCAACUCUGCUUUUGUUUUUCUUUCAUAAGUUGAGAAUGAUAACUUUUUUUUCUGAACUUCUGUCUGACAUUGAUAGAAAUCAAGAGGGCUUGAGUUGAAGAAACAUGCAACUAAAAUACAAUGAAUUUGUAUGAUAACCCGGGAAAAGGCCCAAUUACAUUUGAUCAGAUAAUUGGUCUCUCGUCCAUAAAAAUCUGGUGCAGUUACAUGCACUAGACCAAGUAUGUAUAUAGCCCAACUAGAUAGUUACAUUUCUCUGCUCUCAUGCUGCAUGGUAGCUUUCAACCCCUGCUGACAACAUAUGCCCCGAUUCAGACAACUUAAACCCACUUAGUAAACGUGUCUCUGCAUGCCGGGGAGGGGAUACAUAGGAUUCAUUAGUUGCGGGGACUAGAAGAGAGUGCCGAUUUCAAACAACACGACAAAACUUUGGUUAGUAAACUAGCAUAUUCUACCUAAGUUCCCGGCAAAGCUCUUCUGUAGAUUUCUUACAUUUCACUAGGGAGCACAAUUCAGUCAUUACUCAUUUGCACAUUCAACAUUUUGCAGGACCACUUACCCUCAUCGCCUCACUUUGAAUCCAGCAUUCUCGUGUUAAAGCACCGGAUUAAUUAGUCCAUUUUCAAUCCUGCGUUAUUAGCAUGGACAUUGCGCUAGAGACGCUUAGUUUUGUCCUAAGCAUCUCAGAUUCUCAGACACUUAUGCAUGCUGCUGCUAUCGUUACUAGGAUGCGUGUGUAUUUAAAGUUCUGUAAUCGACAUGUACCAAAGAAACUGUAUUUUGCUUCCUUUUUCAUAAAAAAAGAAAGAUGCGAGGGAGAGGAGAAAAUGAGUUAUGAUCAAUAGUGAUAAUAUGGGCAUGGUAAUGACUAAUGUCUUUCUGUUUGUUGAUUCUGAAUGAAAGUUUACGUUGCAACAUGCAACAAGUCACGAAUCAUAAUUUCUCUGUCAGUUAACAAUAAUGCAGAAUCUGAAAUACUUCGUACUGGUUACAAGUACAUAAACACCAUUAAUUGAAAAUUAAAAUUAAGACAAAGUGACUAUAUAUUUCAACCACCUUUUUAGUCGACCUCUGGAAUUGGCUUUAAUCUCACACCACCAACAAUACUGUUUGAUUGAAUGCAGUAAGCUUUGAGUUCUUUAAGUUAUUAAACACAACUUAUUCUUAAGUUAUGAUUAGUUUUGAGUUGUUGAACUAAUCGUAAUUUGAGUCGGGUUUAAGUAAAAAUCACAAAAAGUACUGUAAGAUUCAGAUAUGUGAGCAAAUGCAUAUUAGCAUAGAAGAAGAUCUGAUUUGUCUAUAAGAACUUAACAAACAGGCUUGUAUGGCACGCCCUUUCU